GCUCCCGUGAGGGAGGGUCUGAAGGAAGCCAGCGGCAAACCUGCGAGCCGACGAACAGAAACGUCAUAGCCUGAAUAAUUCAUCAGCAUCUCAGUAGAGUGCAAAAUCACACUCACUUCGGGCUCAUGGCCACUUUUGAUACUGGU
Molecule: non-coding RNA, 146 nt
Organism: Leptolyngbya sp. Heron Island J
Lineage: Bacteria; Bacillati; Cyanobacteriota; Cyanophyceae; Leptolyngbyales; Leptolyngbyaceae
Source: Rfam